RNAcentral lists this ribosomal RNA (303 nucleotides) under uncultured bacterium. RNAcentral's name for it is "partial 16S ribosomal RNA". It matches the Rfam family "Bacterial small subunit ribosomal RNA", at positions 507 to 808 of the family's 1533-position model. The record is from RNAcentral.
AGCAGCCGCCGCGGUAAUACGUAUGUCACAAGCGUUAUCCGGAUUUAUUGGGCGUAAAGCGCGUCUAGGUGGUUAUAUAUGUCUGAUGUGGAAAUGCAGGGCUCAACUCUGUAUUGCGUUGGAAACUGUGUAACUAGAGUACUGGAGAGGUAAGCGGAACUACAAGUGUAGAGGUGAAGUUCGCAGAUAUUUGUAGGAAUGCCGAUGGGGAAGCCAGCUCACUGGACAGAUACUGACGCUAAAGCGCGAAAGCGUGGGUAGCAAGCAGGAUUAGAUACCCGUGUAGUCCCUGUCUCUUAUACA